This 487-nucleotide ribosomal RNA is filed under the name uncultured bacterium. RNAcentral's name for it is "bacterial SSU rRNA". It matches the Rfam family "Bacterial small subunit ribosomal RNA", at positions 24 to 518 of the family's 1533-position model. The record is from RNAcentral.
UCAGGAUGAACGCUGGCGGCAGGCUUAAUACAUGCAAGUCGAACGGUAAGGCCGAGCGUAGCAAUACGUGAGGUACACGAGUGGCGCACGGGUGCGUAACGCGUAUGCAACCUGCCCCGCACCGAGACAAAACAGACUGGAAACGGCUGCUAAUAUCCCAUGGCCACCUCGGGGGACAUCCCCUGUGGUGUAAAGAUUUAUCGGUACGGGAUGGGCAUGCGUAUUAUUAGGUAGUUGGCGGGGUAACGGCCCACCAAGCCGACGAUGAUUAGGGGUCCUGAGAGGGUGAUCGGCCACAUUGGGACUGAGACACGGCCCAAACUCCUACGGGAGGCAGCAGUGGGGGAUAUUGCACAAUGGAGGGAACUCUGAUGCAGCCGACGCCGCGUGAGUGAAGAAGUAUUUCGGUAUGUAAAGCUCUAUCAGCAGGGAAGAUAAUGACAGUACCUGACCAAGAAGCCCCGGCUAACUACGUGCCAGCCGCCGC